UGCAGUCGAACGAUGAAGGGGAGCUUGCUUCCUGGAUUAGUGGCGAACGGGUGAGUAACACGUGAGCAACCUGCCCCUGACUCUGGGAUAAGCGCUGGAAACGGCGUCUAAUACUGGAUAUGUGACGUGACCGCAUGGUCUGCGUUUGGAAAGAUUUUUCGGUUGGGGAUGGGCUCGCGGCCUAUCAGCUUGUUGGUGAGGUAAUGGCUCACCAAGGCGUCGACGGGUAGCCGGCCUGAGAGGGUGACCGGCCACACUGGGACUGAGACACGGCCCAGACUCCUACGGGAGGCAGCAGUGGGGAAUAUUGCACAAUGGGCGGAAGCCUGAUGCAGCAACGCCGCGUGAGGGAUGACGGCCUUCGGGUUGUAAACCUCUUUUAGCAGGGAAGAAGCGUGAGUGACGGUACCUGCAGAAAAAGCACCGGCUAACUACGUGCCAGCAGCCGCGGUAAUACGUAGGGUGCAAGCGUUAUCCGGAAUUAUUGGGCGUAAAGAGCUCGUAGGCGGUUUGUCGCGUCUGCUGUGAAAUCUGGGGGCUCAACUCCCAGCCUGCAGUGGGUACGGGCAGACUAGAGUGCGGUAGGGGAGAUUGGAAUUCCUGGUGUAGCGGUGGAAUGCGCAGAUAUCAGGAGGAACACCGAUGGCGAAGGCAGAUCUCUGGGCCGUAACUGACGCUGAGGAGCGAAAGGGUGGGGAGCAAACAGGCUUAGAUACCCUGGUAGUCCACCCCGUAAACGUUGGGAACUAGUUGUGGGGUCCAUUCCACGGAUUCCGUGACGCAGCUAACGCAUUAAGUUCCCCGCCUGGGGAGUACGGCCGCAAGGCUAAAACUCAAAGGAAUUGACGGGGACCCGCACAAGCGGCGGAGCAUGCGGAUUAAUUCNAUGCAACGCGAANAACCUUACCAAGGCUUGACAUAUAC
RNAcentral lists this ribosomal RNA (924 nucleotides) under Microbacterium sp. URHB0010. RNAcentral describes it as "bacterial SSU rRNA". It matches the Rfam family "Bacterial small subunit ribosomal RNA", at positions 56 to 991 of the family's 1533-position model. Lineage: Bacteria; Bacillati; Actinomycetota; Actinomycetes; Micrococcales; Microbacteriaceae. The record is from RNAcentral.